Molecule: ribosomal RNA, 422 nt
Filed under: uncultured bacterium
Lineage: Bacteria
Description: partial 16S ribosomal RNA
Rfam family: Bacterial small subunit ribosomal RNA
Source: RNAcentral
AAUAUUGGACAAUGGGCGAAAGCCUGAUCCAGCCAUGCCGCGUGUGUGAAGAAGGUUUUCGGAUCGUAAAGCUCUGUUGCGAGGGAAGAACAAGUACGGGAGUAACUGCCCGUACCUUGACGGUACCUCGUCAGAAAGCCACGGCUAACUACGUGCCAGCAGCCGCGGUAAUACGUAGGUGGCAAGCGUUGUCCGGAAUUAUUGGGCGUAAAGCGCGCGCAGGCGGUCCUUUAAGUCUGAUGUGAAAGCCCACGGCUCAACCGUGGAGGGUCAUUGGAAACUGGGGGACUUGAGUGCAGAAGAGGAAAGUGGAAUUCCAAGUGUAGCGGUGAAAUGCGUAGAGAUUUGGAGGAACACCAGUGGCGAAGGCGACUUUCUGGUCUGUAACUGACGCUGAGGCGCGAAAGCGUGGGGAGCAAACA